Molecule: long non-coding RNA, 1220 nt
Organism: Puntigrus tetrazona (Sumatra barb)
Lineage: Eukaryota; Metazoa; Chordata; Actinopteri; Cypriniformes; Cyprinidae
Exons: 6
Source: RefSeq, a predicted model, not a curated record
CUUGGCACCGGCGAGGAUAGAAAGAACGUUACUAUGGCGAAGGACUAAUCCAUGAAGAAUAAUUGUGCCAUUCCGAAAUUACUCGGAUACUGAACUUUCACCCUGGUCUAAUGGAAACCGCUUUAUGUUUUCACAUUCACAUGUGAUUCUUCAGAACACUAAAGAAACACCCUCGGCGGUCCGACUUUUAGUGUUUUGGGCAGCUCUCUGAACCCUGCAAGCAGACAAGCAAAUAUUUCUGAAGCAAUCAAGGGUUUUUGCUGCAAAACCAAAUGUGCAGAAUUGCUCUGAACAGUUGUGGAUCAUCCCGAUCCCUUGGCCACAAACAUCUGAACGCCCUCCAGCCGCAGAUGCUCAUAGAAAGGCUCAUCCAGGAUCACGCUGUCAAUGAGGCUACAGCCUAUGUACAGUGACGGAGUCUCAGGGAGGAGGAACAUCGAGAGAAACGUGCUCGCGCAAGAUGCGACAGACGCGUUAGAGACUCAACUGUGCAACCACUCACUGUCAAAUACAAAAAACCAAACCAUGCCUGAAGACAGACAACGCUGAAGAAAGUUACUGUAUUUAUGAAGAACAAUGGCAUUAUAAAAUAAAUCUGAGCUGGAACUUUCUGACUCUGUUUAAAACAAAAAGGAGUCAAAGAGAGAAAGUUAGCAAGACCGAGAGAGUGAGAGAAUAGGAGGAGCUCUGGCCCUGGGUCCCUGGGCACAGAAGGUGCUGCAAUGCUGCUUUACUAACAGUCUGAAUGGGAAGCACCUCUCAGCUUCAUUUCCUUUUUUAUCCCACCCUCUGCCCCCCACUAAAAAAAUAUCCAGUCUACAACACAAAUGCAAGACAGACAUGCUCUUCUGUCUCUCAUUCUCAGACUUUGAAGCUCCAGUGCAAAAAUCCCCUCUACUUCCUGUCCUAUUUAGUUUAAAUCGUGGUAUUCAUGUCAGAUGCAUACCAGCAUUCAGCUCCACUCCUUCAGUGUCAAAGUGUUCAGGUCCACGAUCAAUUCCGCUUCUUUCUCAUUUUUAGUUUAAGAAUAAAUGGCUCUUAAAUGUUCUUCUGUCUAUGUCUAUGCAAGUCUAUAAAAUGUAUGUAAACAUAUAUAUGUCAUUAUUUACUAUUUAUACAUUUUUUAUUACCACACACAACACACACAAAUUAUUUCUUCAGACGUUUUUUGGUGCAGUUGAGGUGCUAUAUAGCACUGUUACCGUGUAAAGAACCUGUUA